AUACGGAGGGUGCAAGCGUUACUCGGAAUCACGGGGCGUAAAGCGCGCGCAGGCGGCUAUUUAAGUUGGAUGUGAAAGCCUACGGCUCAACCGUAGAACUGCAUCCAAAACUAUUUAGCUAGAGUGUGGGAGAGGAAGAUGGAAUUAGUUGUGUAGGGGUAAAAUCCGUAGAGAUAACUAGGAAUACCAAAAGCGAAGGCAAUCUUCUGGAACAGUACUGACGCUGAGGCGCGAAAGCGUGGGGAGCAAACAGGAUUAGAAACCCUAGUAGUCC
This 274-nucleotide ribosomal RNA is filed under the name uncultured bacterium. RNAcentral describes it as "partial 16S ribosomal RNA". It matches the Rfam family "Bacterial small subunit ribosomal RNA", at positions 523 to 796 of the family's 1533-position model. The record is from RNAcentral.